GUCUGAUGUUCUCUUUCAGGUCAUGCAUUUAUCCAUUAAUGUUCCAUCACUGAGCUCUUCAGGUUUCUGCUCUGUAUUUUCCUGAUUCACCUUUGGAAUACACCUGGCUUUCUGCAGCAAUGCUUGUGUAGCUGUUGUGGGUGAGUGCCCUUCGCAGAGAGCAUCAGUGGUUUGCUGUAACACCAGGACCUGAAAACAGGUAUCACAGCCACACAGCAAAGUUUAUUUGCUCCUUCCUUUUGUUCUAGCUGCAUUUAUUUCAAAGCCAGAGUGAGAGGUGGCAGAAUGCAGGGCACUGACUUUUUUUGUGUGUUUGUUUCUUGCAGCAUAUCUCAUCUUAGGAUAAUACCUGAGCCUUCCAGGGCAACAGUAGACUUUGGAACCAGGAUGCUCUUGUUCCUUCAGCAGCAUUUUAGCUACUUACUGGCUGAAAUGGUAUGCCUGUGUCUGGAUGAGAUAGAGAGCAAUUUACCGAUUUCAUCCACACGAUGGAUGUGGAGGAGAAGCCAUAGAGGAUGAUACCCAACCAGAAACACGCUGCAGUUUUGUUGUGAAUAUCCAGGAAGUCUCUGCAGUGCAGAUGUGACAGCAACAGCAAAACUUAUUUCAAGGUCCCAUCCCAUGAAGAGGCUGUGAGUAUCAGCAACCACACAAAAGAACUUGCAGAGGGGGGUGGGGAAGUGUCUUUAAAAUGACAAACAUCAUCGUCUGUCCUGGUGGAAUGUGGUAACUAUUUGUGGAUCCCACUGCCUAAACCCCAUCAAAGUUAGAGCGUAGCACUGCUAUCUAUUGUUAUUCUGUGUGAUGGUUUGUUUCUUUUUUUUUCCCCCCUAAAUGUUUCCAGCAUGUUGGCUGAUAGUACCAAAACCCUGCAAUUCUUAGAAAGUGUUGCUUUGGUUUGUUAAGCAGAGUCAUGAAUACAAGUAUUCCUGACUUCUGAGACUGAAGGAUGUGUAUGAGUAGAUGAAGCACAAUAGGAUUAUUAUAAUCCUUGUUACCAGAGGAACCAGCCUGAGUUUCACCUGCCUGCUCCUCGGGUCCUUUGUAACCUGGUAGAAUGGCUUUGUUGGGAAUGAAGAGCAUCAGGAUCUGAGAUGCCUAAGAGCUGACAUACUUAGAGUUGCUCUGUUUGGGGUGGCAUCUCUUUGUAAGUGUGGUGGUUACCUUACUUUUUCACUUCAUGUCACUGUGGGGAACAGAUCAACCAAUGGUUCCGUUAGGCUGGAAAAAUAAGAAAGUUACCAACAGAGAUGUUGAGGAGUAGCCUUUAAACACAAGUAGUGGUAAUAAUAUCUGAACUCUUUUUAGAACAUAGAUCAAUUAAUUAAUGAGAUACCAUGCCCAGGAUCUCUAGUGAUCUUAAUUAGUGUUAAUAGCUUUACAAAAGAUUUUAAAUCUGAUAAGCAUUGAAGGCAAUUUCACUAUAUAGGUCUUGGAUCUGUGUUGUCUUCUAGUAUAGCAGCAGUAUAAAUAAACUGAAUUGUGCUUCUGGAAAAGAAGAAUUG
This 1505-nucleotide long non-coding RNA is filed under the name Coturnix japonica (Japanese quail). Its description in RNAcentral is "lncRNA (ENSCJPG00005020598.1)". Lineage: Eukaryota; Metazoa; Chordata; Aves; Galliformes; Phasianidae. The record is from RNAcentral.